Molecule: unclassified non-coding RNA, 282 nt
Filed under: uncultured Glomeraceae
Lineage: Eukaryota; Fungi; Glomeromycota; Glomeromycetes; Glomerales; Glomeraceae
Description: sequence contains ITS2
Source: RNAcentral
AACGCAAAUUGCACUUUCUGGUAUUCCGGAGAGUAUGCCUGUUUGAGGGUCAGUUAAAUAAAAAUCGAUGUUGUUGUUGCCUUGCGUGGUGACGCAUCGGAUUUGGGUUGUCUUACCUUUCGGUUAAGUGACCUAAAAAUUUUGCAUGAUUUUUCGAACGUAUUUAAAUGAUUUACGUACGUUUGUGAUAUCUAAUACUAGGUGUGGUCAUUCUCAUGAUUCGUGCCUAUAAUUUCUCAUCAAAAUGACCUCAAAUCAGGUAAGAGUACCCGCUGAACUUAA